GAUGAACGCUAGCGGGAGGCUUAAUACAUGCAAGUCGAGCGGCAAGUUUUGAUAGCAAUAUUGGAACCUAGAGCGGCGCACGGGUGAGUAACGCGUACAUGACCUGCCCUAUACUGGGGGAUAGUCUUGGGAAACUGAGAAUAAUCCCGCAUGUGAUUAGAAUGCUGCAUGGCAAAUUAAUUAAAGCUGAGGCGGUAUAGGAUGGGUGUGCGUCUGAUUAGCUAGUUGGUAGUGUAACGGACUACCAAGGCGAUGAUCAGUAGGGGGCGUGAGAGCGUGACCCCCCACACGGGUACUGAGACACGGACCCGACUCCUACGGGAGGCAGCAGUAAGGAAUAUUGGUCAAUGAGGGAACUCUGAACCAGCCAUCCCGCGUGAAGGAUGAAGGGGCUCUGCCUUGUAAACUUCUUUUGCAUGGGACGAAAAACUUAAUUUAUUAAGGACUGACGGUACCAUGAGAAUAAGCAC
RNAcentral lists this ribosomal RNA (470 nucleotides) under uncultured bacterium. Its description in RNAcentral is "bacterial SSU rRNA". It matches the Rfam family "Bacterial small subunit ribosomal RNA", at positions 28 to 493 of the family's 1533-position model. The record is from RNAcentral.